This is a long non-coding RNA of Amblyraja radiata (thorny skate), 147 nucleotides long. RefSeq lists it as uncharacterized. NCBI's taxonomy places the organism in Eukaryota, Metazoa, Chordata, Chondrichthyes, Rajiformes, Rajidae. The transcript has 3 exons. The record is from RefSeq and is a predicted model, not a curated record.
GGCGGAGGUGCAGUGAGAGUAACCUGCGUUGGGAAGACAGAGGUUUCGGCGAGUUAGGAAUGUCAAAGAGCAUUGGAACUGCAUUCCAAUUUAGCCUGUUCCUGGUCUGCUUGUUGGAAAACUGGUCAAGUUCAAAGUGUUCAGAAC